GCUGGGCUUGGUGGUGCAUGCCUGUAAUCCCAGAAACUUAGGAGGCUGAGGCAGGAGGAUCUCAAGUUCAAAGCCAGCCUGGACAACUCAUCAAGGCCCUAAGCAACUUAGUGAGACCCCGUCUGUA
This 127-nucleotide small RNA is filed under the name Marmota monax (woodchuck). The record is from RNAcentral. Lineage: Eukaryota; Metazoa; Chordata; Mammalia; Rodentia; Sciuridae.